AUUACUUGUUAUUUAUCAUUCUAGAUGAAUUGGGUUUCUGCAGAUUAAUGCUUUAAAAAUGUGUUUCUCUUAAUCAGGUCUACUUUCCCCACUCCCAAACAUUGAUACAUCUUCUCCAAGCAUUGGAUGUGGCCAAUCGGCUAGAAAUGAUUCCUAAAAUUUGGAAAGAUAGUAAAGAAUAUGGUCAUACUUUCCGCAGCGACCUGAGAGAAGAGAUCCUGAAGCUCAUGGCAAGGGACAAGCACCCACCAGAGCUUCAGGUGGCAUUUGCUGACUGUGCUGCUGAUAUCAAA
Molecule: small RNA, 293 nt
Filed under: Pongo abelii (Sumatran orangutan)
Lineage: Eukaryota; Metazoa; Chordata; Mammalia; Primates; Hominidae
Description: retained intron
Source: RNAcentral